AAUGGAAUUAGUGUGAGCUAGCUUCAGGUAACCUCAUCAGUCAUUUCCUUUCCUUCCUGUCUUUUGUUUCUUCCCUUGGGUUUCAUUUUUUCUGGACUGGAGAUUUUUCUAAGCCUCACAUUUGUGCAAGAAAUGCACAGAACCUUGGAACAGACAGAAAUUAUUUGGUAUUGUGAAAGUUUAUUUGAUUAUAUCACCUAAUUCUUAUUCCUGAUAUGCCCUAGCCAUCAUCACCAUGAAUGUAGUUGACACAUGGUUUUCAUCAAUGCAUUUAUCGUCUCUGUGUGGAUGGACAAGACAGAUGAGUGGAUGAAAGGACCAUAGAGGAUGAAGAAGCUGAGUAUCCUUUGUACAACAUGUGCUUUAGGAACUUGGCCCCACAGCUGAGAAGGAAGACAUCUGGAUGACUUUGUUCCCAUGAAUGAGAAAAAAUGACAGCUAAAAGAUCAUAGUGCCAACUUUCACCCAGUAAAGAAAAUCUCUAUCUGAUAUUUCUGUUAUAUUGCGGCCAGAAAAUAAAUCCACCAAAUGUU
Long non-coding RNA from Peromyscus eremicus (cactus mouse), 533 nucleotides. RefSeq lists it as uncharacterized. Lineage: Eukaryota; Metazoa; Chordata; Mammalia; Rodentia; Cricetidae. The record is from RefSeq and is a predicted model, not a curated record. The transcript is spliced from 2 exons.